UCAGGUGAUGAGAAACACAAUAAUAGAGUCAAGCUCUGAAGUGGUGCCGGGGUAAAUCUUCGCGCAUCACCCUUGAUGACUCUUAUUGAAUACGAUCUGAUG
RNAcentral lists this small nucleolar RNA (102 nucleotides) under Neurospora crassa. RNAcentral describes it as "box C/D snoRNA CD2". Lineage: Eukaryota; Fungi; Ascomycota; Sordariomycetes; Sordariales; Sordariaceae. The record is from RNAcentral.